CCGAAACGCCACAAGAUCAGUCACAAGGCAACGAAAGUUGCGUUUAGAUAAAUUCAUCAUGUAGUUCUCGUAGAAAAAAAAAAAAACAUUUAAACAAAUACAAGAAAUGUAUAUUAAUAUAUAUAAAUUCGCACUCUCUUCUCCGCACAAAUACAAACAACAAAUAAACGCGUAAAAUGUAAAAUCGUACAGACAAUAAGCAAUUGCUUUUUUUUUGAGUGCUAUUACUGAUUUGCGGUCUUUUAUAUAUUUUUAAUUAAUGCUCACGUGGAACAACAUAUUAUAAAAAAAAAAAAAAAAAAAAAACAAAGCUGGCUAUAUAAACUUGUAAAAGAAACUGAGAAUUUAAAAAUAAUGUCUUUUUGAACAAAAUGUGCGUAUGUGUAAAACAUAAAAAACUGCAUUUAGACAGGAAACUUAUAAAUUAUAAAUACAACUCGAUAAAAAAAAGACUACUUCAGUAAUAGCACCUUUUAUUGUGCACUUGUGAAAAAUAUCCAAAUAAUUUUGUGAAAAAUAUAAAAAAUGCUUCGAUCGUUCGGUCGCGCGAAAAAAAUGAUAAAAGAUCUAGAACAUCAUGGGCCAGCCAGCAUUAUCCACUUGAUCGUCUUGAGUGCGAAAAUUGAAAGACCCAUUUAUGUAUGGAAUAAUGAUGGGACUUUAUACACGGUUGUUGGCAAAGAAAAAACAGGCAACCCUGUAGACGUAGAAUAUCAUACGACUGAUCCGGAACAAACAGGACACUGGACACUGAAACACGGCAAAGAUCCGACCAACGUUAGUUUGAACUUGAACAGCUGUUUAUUUUCCGUAAUCGGAUCUCAAAUCGGACAAGAUCCAUCAACACUGCGAGGAUGGACUUUGGUGAAGUUAAUGAGCAACUUUCGACAUUUGGAUGCCAAGAUGAAAAAGAUACUUCAAUUGGGAAAGAACGGCAGGAAGUUAUUGUUAAUAGGAGGAGCGCGUUAUUGCGGCACGUCAAUCGCGGAUGCAAAACAGAUUCUAGAUUACUCGCAAAACAAUUUUCAUCAUCCUUUGUUUCUUGACCAAGCAUGGAUUGAGAAGGGCCAUCCGCGGGGACACGCCUAUCUAGCGGAAAACGAAAGAGAGGAGGUUUUAAGAGGAAGACGAAUAGACGAUAUUUGUACCGUUGAAUCUUAUUCAAAGCGAGAUACUCUAACGACCGCUUUCUUAUCGUGGAGAGACCAAGAUUUUUGCGCCCAUUUAGCCUUGCGGUCACAGAAAGCACAAGAUAUCAUGAGAAAACUUAAUACUUUGUGCAAGACCGAACCCAAAGUGGUUGAGGAGGAAACCUCUACAUGUUCACAAUCGACUGACAUUUCUAAAGUCGAAUUAGAAGAAUGUGCUCUACGAUUAGGUAUAGAAAGAGAUUUACCUAAAAUUCAUAAGUGGCGUAAGGGGCGAAGAUUGAGACAGCUACGAAACUUACAGGGAGUAAUAUUGGUUUUGCGCCAUCGAUACUGUCAAGCCGCGAAUCGACAUGCUGACGUUUUCGUCUAUACUUUUUACCCAACAUUUAUUUAAAACAGAAAAUGUAAAGGAAGAAAGGAAAUCUGGAUAAAAAUGCAGUUAAACACAUAAAUUUUAUAAUUUUGAUAUCUCGUUUGAUCGCUGUUGCAACUGUAAAACACUGUUGUGCAACAUGAAUUUAUAUAGGUGGUAAUUUCGUACAACCAAGAAAGCAAACCGUAUCCCCGCAUAAGAAGCAGGGACGCGCUGGGGAUUCUGGUGGCGGAAACAAUGACUUCCAAUAUCAGUUUCUAAAGAGAAAACAAAUCGAACACUUUAUAUUGACACACAAAUUAAUAAUUUAUAUUAAGCUGUUUAUAUAUACAC
Pseudomyrmex gracilis is the source of this 1857-nucleotide RNA transcript. RefSeq lists it as uncharacterized. NCBI's taxonomy places the organism in Eukaryota, Metazoa, Arthropoda, Insecta, Hymenoptera, Formicidae. The record is from RefSeq and is a predicted model, not a curated record. The transcript has 5 exons.